RNAcentral lists this ribosomal RNA (224 nucleotides) under uncultured bacterium. RNAcentral's name for it is "partial 16S ribosomal RNA". It matches the Rfam family "Bacterial small subunit ribosomal RNA", at positions 524 to 746 of the family's 1533-position model. The record is from RNAcentral.
UACGGAGGAUCCAAGCGUUGUCCGGAUUUACUGGGUUUAAAGGGUGCGUAGGUGGACUUUUAAGUCAGUGGUGAAAGCCUGUAGCUUAACUAUAGAAUUGCCAUUGAAACUGAAAGUCUUGAGUACAGUUGAGGUGAGCGGAAUGUAUCAUGUAGCGGUGAAAUGCUUAGAUAUGAUACAGAACACCGAUUGCGAAGGCAGCUCACUAAAACUGCAACUGACAC